GAUGAACGCUGGCGGCGUGCCUAAUACAUGCAAGUCGAGCGAACGGACGAGAAGCUUGCUUCUCUGAUGUUAGCGGCGGACGGGUGAGUAACACGUGGAUAACCUACCUAUAAGACUGGGAUAACUUCGGGAAACCGGAGCUAAUACCGGAUGAUAUUUUGAACCGCAUGGUUCAAAAGUGAAAGACGGUCUUGCUGUCACUUAUAGAUGGAUCCGCGCUGCAUUAGCUAGUUGGUAAGGUAACGGCUUACCAAGGCAACGAUGCAUAGCCGACCUGAGAGGGUGAUCGGCCACACUGGAGCUGAGACACGGUCCAGACUCCUACGGGAGGCAGCAGUAGGGAAUCUUCCGCAAUGGGCGAAAGCCUGACGGAGCAACGCCGCGUGAGUGAUGAAGGUCUUCGAAUCGUAAAACUCUGUUAUUAGGGAAGAACAUAUGUGUAAGUAACUGUGCACAUCUUGACGGUACCUAAUCAGAAAGCCACGGCUAACUACGUG
Molecule: ribosomal RNA, 497 nt
Filed under: uncultured bacterium
Lineage: Bacteria
Description: partial 16S ribosomal RNA
Rfam family: Bacterial small subunit ribosomal RNA
Source: RNAcentral